CCUAAAUUGCGAUCGCGGACGUCGUCCACGAGCCACGGAAGUUUUUGGAGAGGGAAACGAAAAAUACACAAUCGAAAUCUAUACACCCAUAGAGAAAUAUAAAGAAUACCCGAAGACCAUAAUAUGUCACUAUUAUUUGCACACACGGCUCUUAAGGAGUUGUUCUGGUUUGGACGGUAUACCUGCACUAAGAAUAAUAUAGGUCAUGAGCAUAGCACACAGGAGACAGUUCAACAAUGGUUUUAUUCAAAAAUAAUAAUAGUCUUUUGAUCGGAACGUAAAGCGAAUGUAACAAUAAAUGAAAAUACGUACCAUAAUCGAACUUCUAUCCAGAAAUCAGAUGUAGGU
This is a long non-coding RNA of Adelges cooleyi (spruce gall adelgid), 348 nucleotides long. RefSeq lists it as uncharacterized. The record is from RefSeq and is a predicted model, not a curated record. Lineage: Eukaryota; Metazoa; Arthropoda; Insecta; Hemiptera; Adelgidae. The transcript is spliced from 5 exons.